RNAcentral lists this ribosomal RNA (537 nucleotides) under uncultured bacterium. RNAcentral's name for it is "bacterial SSU rRNA". It matches the Rfam family "Bacterial small subunit ribosomal RNA", at positions 358 to 917 of the family's 1533-position model. The record is from RNAcentral.
GGAUUCGAAUGGGGGAACCCUGACGCAGCAACGCCGCGUGGAGGAUGAAGUCCUUCGGGACGUAAACUCCUUUCGAUCGGGACGAUAAUGACGGUACCGGAAGAAGAAGCCCCGGCUAACUUCGUGCCAGCAGCCGCGGUAAUACGAGGGGGGCGAGCGUUGUUCGGAAUUAUUGGGCGUAAAGGGUGCGUAGGCGGUUUUGUAAGUCUUAUGUGAAAUCUAUGGGCUCAACUCAUAGACUGCAUGAGAAACUGCAGGGCUCGAGUAUGGGAGAGGUGAGUGGAAUUCCUGGUGUAGCGGUGAAAUGCGUAGAUAUCAGGAGGAACACCUGUGGCGAAAGCGGCUCACUGGACCAUAACUGACGCUGAAGCACGAAAGCUAGGGGAGCAAACAGGAUUAGAUACCCUGGUAGUCCUAGCCCUAAACGAUGACUGCUUGGUGUGACGGGUACCCAAUCCCGCCGUGCCGUAGCUAACGCGUUAAGCAGUCCGCCUGGGGAGUACGGUCGCAAGGCUGAAACUCAAAAAAAUUGACGGA